UACGGGAGGCAGCAGUGGGGAAUAUUGCACAAUGGGCGCAAGCCUGAUGCAGCCAUGCCGCGUGUAUGAAAAAGGCCUUCGGGUUGUAAAGUACUUUCAGUCGUGAGGAAGGUGUUAAGGUUAAUAACCUUAGCAAUUGACGUUAGCGACAGAAGAAGCACCGGCUAACUCCGUGCCAGCAGCCGCGGUAAUACGGAGGGUGCGAGCGUUAAUCGGAAUUACUGGGCGUAAAGGGCACGCAGGCGGUUAAUUAAGUUGGAUGUGAAAUCCCCGGGCUUAACCUGGGAAUGGCAUUCAAGACUGGUUAGCUAGAGUCUUGUAGAGGGGGUAGAAUUCCGAUGUGUAGCGGUGAAAUGCGUAGAGAUGUGGAGGAAUACCGGUGGCGAAGGCGGCCCCUGGACAAAGGCUGACGCUCAUGUGCGAAAGCGUGGGGAGCAAACG
RNAcentral lists this ribosomal RNA (441 nucleotides) under uncultured bacterium. RNAcentral describes it as "bacterial SSU rRNA". It matches the Rfam family "Bacterial small subunit ribosomal RNA", at positions 340 to 774 of the family's 1533-position model. The record is from RNAcentral.